GACGAACGCUGGCGGCGUGCUUAACACAUGCAAGUCGAACGGAAAGGCCCUGCUUUUGUGGGGUGCUCGAGUGGCGAACGGGUGAGUAACACGUGAGUAACCUGCCCUUGACUUUGGGAUAACUUCAGGAAACUGGGGCUAAUACCGGAUAGGAGCUCCUGCUGCAUGGUGGGGGUUGGAAAGUUUCGGCGGUUGGGGAUGGACUCGCGGCUUAUCAGCUUGUUGGUGGGGUAGUGGCUUACCAAGGCUUUGACGGGUAGCCGGCCUGAGAGGGUGACCGGCCACAUUGGGACUGAGAUACGGCCCAGACUCCUACGGGAGGCAGCAGUGGGGAAUAUUGCACAAUGGGCGGAAGCCUGAUGCAGCAACGCCGCGUGCGGGAUGCCGGCCUUCGGGUUGUAAACCGCUUUCGCCUGUGCCGAAGCGUGAGUGACGGUAAUGGGUAAAGAAGCACCGGCUAACUACGUG
Molecule: ribosomal RNA, 468 nt
Filed under: uncultured bacterium
Lineage: Bacteria
Description: partial 16S ribosomal RNA
Rfam family: Bacterial small subunit ribosomal RNA
Source: RNAcentral